GCUUGCCCAGCUGAGGCAUUGGAGCAGGGCAUUUUGAUAGUGGCUGGAGGGCAGGCAGCUCAACCUCUAAACCCCCCUGGUCUGGGCACCAAGUCCUGUCCUGGGCACGGGACACAGUCCUCCAGCGAGACCAAACCCAGCUUCUCUACAGCACCAGGAAGAAGGCAAGCUGGGCCACCAGGGCGCGGCCCCAGGAAGGAAAAUCCUCCAUGGUCCUGUUGACAGAUGUGGUAUCAAAUGAAUUGUUCUCUGCUUAGACACGACUUUGAUAUUUAUUGGUUCAAAUUGCUCGGCUGACUCAGUCUUGCUGAGCCCUGAAGCAUGGCAUUGAGAAGCUGCCUAAGAAGGAGGCAGAUCCAUCAGCCUGGGUGCCCGACUGAUUACCCUGAGCAGAGCUCCCCAGCCCACCUGUGAUGGACGCAUGGAGCUUGAGCAAGGAAUAAAUAUUCGUUGCUGGACUCUGAUUACACUGGACCUAUCCAAGAUCUGAGAUCAUCAACUCAUCUCAAAAUCCUUAAGCUGACCACAGCAGCAUCGUCCCUUUUGCAGUGUAAGUUCCCCUCCAGGUUUGCACAGCAUCUGCUGAAGUCUCCACUAGAAACUCAAUGGAAGGUCCCCACCGGAAACUGAAAGUCUCCUAGAGUGGCUUUGAGUUGCGGUUUCACCCUCCCUGCAGAUCCACAGGGGAGGCUGGGGCAGAUGGAAAAUACCAACUUGAUGGUCUGUGGCCACACCAUGCUGCUCCCCAAGGCCCCUCAGAAUUUCACUGCCCAAUAUGGUAGCGCCCAGCCUGAAACGUGGCCAGUGUGAAUUGAGAUGGGCUGGAAAUGCACCAGACUUCCAAGAGCUGGACAAAAACCAUAUACUUUCCAUCCAGCUGUUUGGCAUUGGAUACUGCUGCCUCUGCUUGACUUGAGAAUGUGUGAGAAAAGCUGUGUUUAGACAACUGAAAACCAUGAGCUUGAAAGUAGUGGGGGCACACUCUUGGAGACUCCAGUUGCUCACCAGCUUGGACAAACCACUGGACUCAAAUGAUCAGGUAGAAAUUCAUCACUGGAGAGAACACAGUGGAAUGGCUUCAGCGAAAACUCACUCUGAAGGUCUUCAGGGCAACUUUAAGACUUGCCCCUGGCCGGGCACAGUGGCUUAUGCCUAUAAUCCCAGCACUUUGGGAGGCCGAGGCGGGUGGAUCACCUGAGGUCAGGAGUUCAAGACCAGCCUGGCCAAUAUGGCGAAACCCUGUCUCUACUAAAAAUCCAAAAAAUUAGCCGGGCGUGGUCGUGGGCGCCUGUAAUCCCAGCAACUCGAGAGGCUGAGGCAGGAGAAUUGCCUGAACCCGGGAGGCAGAGUUUGAAGACAGCCGAGAUUGCACCACUGGGCAACAAGAGCAAAACUCCAUCUCAAAAAAAAAAAAAAAAAAAAAAAUACUUGCCCCGGCUUUUUGUGUGAUGGACUUUCUAUUUACAGACGUGAUAUUUAUCUAUGACUUUACUCAGAGUCUGGCUCAUAGACCAGAAGGACUGGUAUCUCCUGGAGCUUGCAGGAAAUGCAAAAUCUCAAACCCCUGUAUUAGUCAGGGUUCUCCAGAGAAGUAGAGCCAAUGGGAUAGAGACAGGGAUAGGGAUGAUAGAGAUGGAGAUAGAGGUAGAGAUCCAUUGAUUCCUCUGUUAAUAAAUUGGCUCAUGCAGUUGUGACAAUUUCGAAAUCUGCAAGGUAUGUCAGCAAGCUGGAGACCCAGGGAACAGUUGAUGUUGCACCUUGAGUACAAAGGCAGUGUGUCUGGAGCCAUAAUAUCUUCUUGUUAGGAAGACUUUGGUCUUUUCUCUUCUGGCCUUCAACUGCUUGGGUGAGGCCCGUCCCCACUACAGAAGACAAUAGUCUGUUCUACUCAGAGUCUACUGAUUUAAAUGCUCAUCUCAUCCCAAAAAAUACCCUCACAGCAACAUUUAGCCUGUGCAUUUGACCAAACAACUGGGUACCAUGCCCCCCCUCCCAAGUUGACACACAAAAUUGACCAUCAUACCCUCCCCACCCCCAGUCUUACUGAAUGAGAGAGAAUCUGUGCUUCAACAAGAUCCCCAGAAGAGGUAUAAGCGCAGGGAAGUCUGAGAAGCACCACCUUUGAGGCUUAUCCAGGAUGCCCACAUGAGCCUUCUCUGGAUAUGUCAGAUCCCCUUCCUGGCCCCCUAGACACCUCCUCCACUCCCCAAACUUGGAAGCAACAUUGUGGGGAAGCAGGCAGUGAGGCGCUCAGUCUACCACGUUGUGAGAUACACAGCUCCAUCUGUGUAUCAUGAUUUGAUCCAAGGGAAAACAAAAGAUCCAGAAACAUAAGUACUUUUUUGUGAGCUCUCAAAAACUUCCUGUGACAAGAUCAGGUCGUUGAUGCGAGAGCCACACUUGUUUCUUUUUCCUCUUUAUUCUCCACCUCUGACAUAAUACUUAGCAUAAAAAAAAAUCCAAUAAACACCACUGAAUCAAUUAUCUAAGCCUCAGUUUCCCUCUUGUAAUAUGUACUUACCUGGUUGUGGUAGGAAAGACACCAGGCAUGAGAAACACUUAAAAGCCCAGGACCCUGAGCUGGGCACAUGGUAGGUACUCAGGAAGUCAUUGCCGAGUGUUCAGUGCAUGCUUGUUGAAUGAGUAAAUGAGGUCAGGCUUCAGCAUGCAAACACUCGCUAUAAAGCAGGAACCCUGUGCCCUGAGUGCACAAAAUAGAUAUCGGUGAGUGCAUAUGGGGGCAGUGAGUGUAUGGAUUGGAUAUAGGUGGGUGUAUAUGGUGAGGAGUAUGGAUUGGAUACAGGUGGGUGUAUACAGAGGGGAGUGAGUGUAUGGAUUGGAUACAGGUGGGUGCAUAUGCGGGGGGGGGGUGGCGUGAGUUUAAGAAUUGGAUACAGGUGGGUGCAUUUGGGGGCGUGAGUGUAUGCAUUGGAUACAGGUGGGUGUAUAUGGGAGGGUAAGCGUGUGGAUUGGAUAUAGGUGGGUGCAUAUGGGAGGGUGAGUAUAUCGAUUGGAUAUAGAUGGGUGCAUAUGGGAGGGUGAGCGUAUGGAUUGGAUACAGGUAGGUGCAUAUGGAAGGGUGAGUGUAUGGAUUGGAUACAGGUGGGUGCAUAUGGGGGGAGUGAGUUUAUGAACUGGAUACAGGUGGGUGAAUUUGGGGGAGUGAGUGUAUGGAUUGGAUACAGGUGGGUGCAUAUGGGAGGGUGAGCAUAUGGAUUGGAUAUAGGUGGGUGCAUAUGGGAGGGUGAGCAUAUGGAUUGGAUAUAGAUGGGUGCAUAUGGGAGGGUGAGCGUAUGGAUUGGAUACAGGUGGGUGCAUAUGGGAAGGUGAGCGUAUGAACUGGAUAUAGGUGGGUGCACAUGGGAGGGUGAGUGUAUGGAUUGGAUAUAGGUGGGUGCAUAUGGGAGGGUGAGCAUAUGGAUUGGAUAUAGGUGGGUGCAUAUGGGAGGGUGAGUGUAUGGAUUGGAUAUAGGUGGGUAUAUAUGGGAGAGUGAGCAUAUGGAUUGGAUAUAGGUGGGUGCAUAUGGGGGACAGUGAAUGUCUGGAUUGGAUACAGGUGGGUGCAUAUUGGGGGAGUGAGUGUCUGGAUUAGAUACAGGUGGAUGCACAUGGGAGGAAUGAGUGUACAGAACGAAUACAGGUGGAUGCAUAUAUUGGGAGUGAGUAUACAGAGAGGAUACAGGUGGAUUGAGUUGUUACAACCAACGACAGGAAGCACAUGCAAGGCUCUAGGCAUUGCACAAAGCACUCCAUAGGCAAAAUCACACUGGCGCCAAUAGCAAUCCUGGGAGAUGUACUCAUUAUUAAUAAUAUUGUUGUCAUUUUAUAGAGAAGGAACACAGGCUCAGACAUCAGUGCCAUAUCUGAAGACAUUCAGCUAAUAACAGGAUGGAGUCCAAUCUGGUAAUGCUUUUUUUCUAACUUUAAGAUCUCCUACCACUCCUUUCUUUUUGAAAGGAGAUAGAAGUGAGAUAGAGAAAACAGAGACAGAGAGAGUGUGUACACACCUGUGCCUGGGUGUCUUUGCUGGUGUGUGCACACCUGUGCCUGGGUGUCUUUGCUGGUGUGUGCACAUGUGUCUACAUGUGUGGUCGUGAGAGUACACACAGGGGCUGGAGGGUGGGGAAGGGCUUAAUCUAAUCCUGAAAGUGCCAGCAGAACUCUUGGGUGUCCCUCAAAGUCAAGCUUCUUUCCAGGUCAUCGAAGUUUUCACUUGGGUAAUAAUGCACGCAUAAUUAACUGAACAAAUAUAAUGAAUCUAUCUGUAGUGACAUGAUAGUUGGUGCUGAAUCCUAUUAGAGCACAUUUAAUUAAAAAUGCAUUAAACCUUCAAGCUUCUAAACACACCCUGCGCUUCUUCAAAGCCGCCCCUCCGUUAAAGUCUUCCCCACUAUUAACUAUGAGUCAGCCUGUGACCCUUUGGGCAUGACGGGGUGAGGUGAAGUGGCUCUUAAAUGCCUGUGCCAGUAUAUCACAGGCACUAAUGGAUUUAAAUCAGGGAGAUUAAUUCCAUUCAUUCGGCUCCUCAUUUCAGAAACAACUGUCACGCUGAGCCUAAUUGCUGAAGAUGGUUGAAGGCACCAGGAGGCUGGAGUUUCCUGGAGGUGGUUUGUGGCCAACCGUCAAUUACUUGGGCUGCUGUGCAGUGGGGAUAGAAGGAUGAUUAGAAUCCACAGACAACCCAUUGGCCUUUGUUUACCAUUAACUUCUGUUUUCUCCACCAGCCAAGCUCCUCCAGACCCAGGAGAUGGCUCUUCCCUCUGUGUAGCACACUCUUUCCAGUCAAGGGGUCUUGCACUGCUAUUUCCCCUUCUGCUUUGCUUGGUUCAUUCUUACUGACCCUCCAAAUACUGAAGGAAUGAAUGGAGAAAUAAGUAAAUGAGAGAUGUGGCCAAGAGUCUCCAAGAGAGGAAAUUAAAAAAUCCUAUACCUGUGAGGAACUGGCCCACUUGCAAAAGGCGGACUCAUUUGUCACUGUGUUUGCUGGCUGCUCGCACCACACAGUUUCCAGCCUAGGCAUUAUUUCCAACCUCUUUUUCCAAAGGGUCUUUCUAAGGUACAGAAAAUGGACAUAAAAUCGCCCAACGUAGUUGAGAGGUAAGGAGUAAAAGCCGGAAUUUGAACUCCUAAUCUCCUGCCACGAUUUCAUGCUGCCUCUGGGUAAUCUCCCAGCACGUUGCUUAAUCAGCUGCUGAGUCAUUG
RNAcentral lists this long non-coding RNA (5202 nucleotides) under Homo sapiens (human). RNAcentral's name for it is "HSALNT0331177". The record is from RNAcentral. Lineage: Eukaryota; Metazoa; Chordata; Mammalia; Primates; Hominidae.